GACGAACGCUGGCGGCGUGCCUAAUACAUGCAAGUCGAGCGCAGGAAGCUGACGGAACUCUUCGGAGGGAGGGCAGUGGAAUGAGCGGCGGACGGGUGAGUAACACGUAAGGAACCUGCCUCAAGGAUUGGGAUAGCUCCGAGAAAUCGGAGCUAAUACCGGAUAGUUCAACGGACCGCAUGGUCCGCUGAUGAAAGGCGCUUCGGCGUCACCUUGAGAUGGCCUUGCGGUGCAUUAGCUAGUUGGUGGGGUAACGGCCUACCAAGGCGACGAUGCAUAGCCGACCUGAGAGGGUGAUCGGCCACGCUGGGACUGGGACACGGCCCAGACUCCUACGGGAGGCAGCAGUAGGGAAUCUUCCACAAUGGACGAAAGUCUGAUGGAGCAACGCCGCGUGAGUGAUGAAGGUGUUCGGAUCGUAAAACUCUGUUGUAAGGGAAGAACACGUACGAGAGGGAAUGCUCGUACCUUGACGGUACCUUACGAGAAAGCCACGGCUAACUACGUGCCAGCCGCCGCAGUAA
Molecule: ribosomal RNA, 524 nt
Filed under: uncultured bacterium
Lineage: Bacteria
Description: partial 16S ribosomal RNA
Rfam family: Bacterial small subunit ribosomal RNA
Source: RNAcentral